Molecule: ribosomal RNA, 200 nt
Filed under: uncultured bacterium
Lineage: Bacteria
Description: partial 16S ribosomal RNA
Rfam family: Bacterial small subunit ribosomal RNA
Source: RNAcentral
GACGUAGGGGGCGAGCGUUGUCCGGAUUUAUUGGGCGUAAAGGGCUCGUAGGUGGUUGCGUAAGUCGGAUGUGAAAACUCCAGGCUCAACUUGGAGACGCCAUCCGAUACUGCGCUGACUUGAGUCCGGUAGAGGAGUGUGGAAUUUCUAGUGUAGCGGUGAAAUGCGCAGAUAUUAGAAGGAACACCUAUUGCGAAGGC